This 1104-nucleotide long non-coding RNA is filed under the name Oncorhynchus kisutch (coho salmon). RNAcentral's name for it is "lncRNA (ENSOKIG00005045023.1)". The record is from RNAcentral. Lineage: Eukaryota; Metazoa; Chordata; Actinopteri; Salmoniformes; Salmonidae.
AUGAGCUUCCUCUCUACAUCGCAUUAUAUCUUAUGUAAUUGCUCCCUAUCUCUCUCUCUCUGUCUCUACAUCUUUAUCCAUCUGUCUCUCUCUCUGUCUCUACAUCUUUAUCCAUCUGUCUCUCUCUCUGUCUCUACAUCUUCAUCCAUCUGUCCUCUCUUUCUCUGUCUCUACAUCUUUAUCCAUCUGUCUCUCUUUCUCUGUCUCUACAUCUUUAUCCAUCUGUCUCUCUUUCUCUGUCUCUACAUCUUUAUCCAUCUGUCUCUCUUUCUCUGUCUCUACAUCUUCAUCCAUCUGUCUCUCUUUCUCUGUCUCUACAUCUUUAUCCAUCUGUCUCUUUCUCUGUCUCUACAUCUUUAUCCAUCUGUCUCUCUUUCUCUGUCCUCUACAUCUUUAUUCCAUCUGUCUCUCUCUCUGUCUCUACAUCUUUAUCCAUCUGUCUCUCUUUCUCUGUCUCUACAUCUUUAUCCAUCUGUCUCUCUUUCUCUGUCUCUACAAUCUUUAUCCAUCUGUCUCUCUUUCUCUGUCUCUACAUCUUUAUCCAUCUGUCUCUCUUUCUCUGUCUCUACAUCUUCAUCCAUCUGUCUCUCUUUCUCUGUCUCUACAUCUUCAUCCAUCUGUCUCUCUUGCUCUGUCUCUACAUCUUUAUCCAUCUGUCUCUCUUUCUCUGUCUCUACAUCUUUAUCCAUCUGUCUCUCUUUCUCUGUCUCUACAUCUUUAUCCAUCUGUCUCUCUUUCUCUGUCUCUACAUCUUUAUCCAUCUGUCUCUCUUUCUCUGUCUCUACAAUCUUUAUCCAUCUGUCUCUCUCUCUGUCUCUACAUCUUUAUCCAUCUGUCUCUCUUUCUCUGUCUCUACAUCUUUAUCCAUCUGUCUCUCUCUCUGUCUCUACAUCUUUAUCCAUCUGUCUCUCUUUCUCUGUCUCUACAUCUUUAUCCAUCUGUCUCUCUUUCUCUGUCUCUACAUCUUUAUCCAUCUGUCUCUCUUUCUCUGUCUCUACAUCUUUAUCCAUCUGUCUCUCUUUCUCUGUCUCUACAUCUUUAUCCAUCUGUCUCUCUUUCUGUCUCUACAUCUUUAUCCAUCUGUCUCUCUUUCUCUGUCUCUAA